UGGACAUUAGUUUAACAAAAACAACUAAUUUCGACUUAGUAAAUUCAAAAACAUUUGAAUGCCCAU
This 66-nucleotide transfer RNA is filed under the name Anolis punctatus (spotted anole). Its description in RNAcentral is "tRNA-Arg". The record is from RNAcentral. Lineage: Eukaryota; Metazoa; Chordata; Lepidosauria; Squamata; Anolidae.